GUGACGUGUUUCCGGUCCGCGGUUAUUGAGUUCCUUAACACAGACGAGGCUAAAUGUAGCGUCGUUUAUCGAUAAUUAGGUGGAUCACCACAUAAUACACGCAUUAGGUUCAAUGCUUAGGUAAUUAGACGUUUGGAAGAGACGUUUGCGGUACAUUUUAGAGAUACUUUUGGUGUCCAAGGUGCAUCCUCAUCCUGUUAGCUUGUUCAAGCAGCGCGAGCGGCUAACGGUCGCGCCACAUUUCUGAGUCGGAUCAGAUAACUCAGUUUAUAUUGACUUUUGGGUGUUAUAGAAGGAAUUCUGGAUCUAUCGGCAUUUGCACCUGAACUCACCAUAAGGGUGUAAGAGCCACAUCAGCCACACGGUCAUUUCCAUCAUCAGAUAUUACAACAUUGCUCCUCAUCAUCUCCAGACAUGGAAAUCGACCAGCUGGCCAGAGGUUUCCGGACACGGCUGACCACGACCUUUGACGGCGUUUUAAGGAAAGCUUUGCUAGACGUGAUGGACGUUUUUGAAAGCACCAUGCAAGACUUUAAAAUACUGAUGCAGCAGAAAGAGGCACAGAUUCAAAAACUCCAGGGGAAGCUGGUGGUAGCGGAGCUGAAACAAAAAAAGCACGUGUGUAGAAGUGACAGAAGACCAAAGACUGAGAACGAUACAGCAAAGGUUCAGGCAGUGAAGCCGGUGUCAUCGUCUGGUAAAGUUUCUGCUUUAAAAGAAGGGACAAAUCCUAUUUUGAGCAGAAGAUUAUCUCCACGUCAACAUCCAAUAAUCCCCAUUAAACAGGAAACUUCUGACCAAACCAAUUGUAAAAUCCAGAAAAGAAGUGAGCAAAUCUUGAUGGGAAACGUAACUCAGCAUAGAAAGAAUCCCAAUGACAAAGUAACGAAGAGAUCGGCUAAAAAAAAGAAGCGUAGAAGAGUUUGUCAGAAAGUUUUUAUUUCAGAAAACGAGCGAAACAUGCACGUGCUCUUUCAUCACUGCUGCAUCGGCUGCAGAACAGUCUACCAAAAACGAGGAAGUCUCCUUCGUCACAAAUCAACCUGUGAAAAACUCAACAGAGGCCUGGCAAAAACACCCGUUUCUACCGAGACCCAAACCACAAUCAAAACAGAAAACGCGCCGUUUCUCAUCAGCAGCAUGGAUCCAGACACCAUAAGGAGCACAUUUGCAAAAAGUGCAAGAGUCAGCAUUAGCGGAACAAUGCAAGUGAUGAAGAAUUUGUGAAUAUAAACGACCAGAGCAAGAACCUGUGGACACACAGCACAAUGUUCUUCUGUAUAUUAUAACUUUUACACAUUUCUUUAUAGUUAUCGUCUGUGUAGAACUAACACUUGAAGUGAAGAGACCCCCUCUGAAAAGGAUUUAUAGGGGGAGUUUGUUUCUACAUCCUGCAAACUUUCACGUGGACAGGAUGACCCACCCCUUUCAGGGAGACCCCUGUUGUGGGAGGGUGUCACUGUCCAGAUUGUCCUCGUGACUUUUUUAACAACAAGUUCCCUCCAAAAAUAAGGACAUAGGAAAGUGGAUACAAUGCAUGACAUCACCAAAAAGAACAAUAUAUUAAUGAUCUAUGUUCAAUUUAUUAUUAUUAUUUUAUAAUCACCUAGAUUUCUUUUUCAGGUAAAAUCUCUCAGCCAAAAGGCCAUUUUAGUUGUUGUUGUUGUCCAAAAUGUCUAGAAACCUCACUAAUGUUAGUUUAAGGUAACUGCUGUUUGAACUUUUUCAUAAGAACAUUUACCAGUAAAACUCACCAACCAGUUCUGACAAAUACUGUACAUACUUAUAAGCCAUGUUUGGUAUCAAAAUGACCGAUAAGUCAUGAUAUUUUAGGUUCUCUUAUUGAAAAUGUUUAGUUUAUUUGUUUAUUUGAGCAGUUAAAGUACCGCUCAAAAGGAGUGGGCUGAAGCAAGAGCUUAUUAGCGCCGACCCCCGAGAUCAUUACAAUGAAAACAACAUAUCACACAGUACAAGGGAACAAAUUACAAGGAAUAAAGUACAAGAGCAUAGGAACA
RNAcentral lists this long non-coding RNA (2015 nucleotides) under Gouania willdenowi (blunt-snouted clingfish). RNAcentral's name for it is "lncRNA (ENSGWIG00000008084.1)". The record is from RNAcentral. Lineage: Eukaryota; Metazoa; Chordata; Actinopteri; Blenniiformes; Gobiesocidae.